RNAcentral lists this ribosomal RNA (404 nucleotides) under Rhizobiaceae bacterium. RNAcentral describes it as "bacterial SSU rRNA". It matches the Rfam family "Bacterial small subunit ribosomal RNA", at positions 56 to 509 of the family's 1533-position model. Lineage: Bacteria; Pseudomonadati; Pseudomonadota; Alphaproteobacteria; Hyphomicrobiales; Rhizobiaceae. The record is from RNAcentral.
UGCAGUCGAACGCCCCGCAAGGGGAGUGGCAGACGGGUGAGUAACGCGUGGGAAUCUACCGUGCCCUGCGGAAUAGCUCCGGGAAACUGGAAUUAAUACCGCAUACGCCCUACGGGGGAAAGAUUUAUCGGGGUAUGAUGAGCCCGCGUUGGAUUAGCUAGUUGGUGGGGUAAAGGCCUACCAAGGCGACGAUCCAUAGCUGGUCUGAGAGGAUGAUCAGCCACAUUGGGACUGAGACACGGCCCAAACUCCUACGGGAGGCAGCAGUGGGGAAUAUUGGACAAUGGGCGCAAGCCUGAUCCAGCCAUGCCGCGUGAGUGAUGAAGGCCUUAGGGUUGUAAAGCUCUUUCACCGGAGAAGAUAAUGACGGUAUCCGGAGAAGAAGCCCCGGCUAACUUCGUGCC